AUGAGCGGCCAAGUUUACCCACCGCCGCCGGCGGCGAUGGCGCCGCAGCCGCAGCCUCACGGGCAGGUGGCGGCCAACAACUGGGCGGGCAACGACGCCAACACGCUGCUGGUGGUGGCGACGCUGAUCACCACGCUCACGUACCAGCUCGGGUGCAGCGUCCCCGGCGGGUACUGGCAGGACACGCUGCCGGCGGACGGCAAGCAGAAGCCGCACGAGGCCGGUGACCCCAUCAUGCGCGACAAGCACCCGCAAAGGUACUGGGUGUUCAUGGCGGCGAGCUGGAUGGGGUUCCUGGCGUCCAUGAUGAUGACGCUGAGCCUGCUGGUACGCCUGCCGGUGGACUCGCGGCAGGUCCGGUGGUCCUUCGCCGUCGCCUACUCUAGCCUGGUGCUCACCUUCAUCGUGUCGCAGGCCAAGACGCACAUCUCAAUCGACAUCGCCAUCUGGUUGGUCACCGUCGUUUUCCUGUGGCUCAUGAUCAGCGUCCGCCCUGAGCACCGGGCGCGUAUUCUCCGUUUCUUCUGCUGCAACCGCGAGAACUGA
RNAcentral lists this ribosomal RNA (546 nucleotides) under Triticum aestivum (bread wheat). RNAcentral's name for it is "partial small subunit ribosomal RNA". The record is from RNAcentral. Lineage: Eukaryota; Viridiplantae; Streptophyta; Magnoliopsida; Poales; Poaceae.